AACUGUGGGCUGCUAUGCUACGCAGGAGUAGUAGGUAGGCACGCGAGGUGAUGAUGCAUGGUAUGUUACGUGCUCAUGACAAGGACCACACGUACCUUCACACACUUGUGGUUGCUUCCCUUUACCACUAAAAAUUGACGCGACGACAAUGACUAGUGUGUAAAUAAAACAACGCAGGGCAUACAUUUUCUCCAUCAAGGUUUCUUUCACCUUGCUUCCCCCCAAGCGAGUAAUCUUCGUUGCAAAAAUCCAUUCAAAAUGGUAUUUCAUACAUGUUCGAUCACCGGUUCUUUCAUUGACUUUCUAAUCUAAACACACGAUUGGCAACUGCUCCCUCCACCCUAAAUUAUAUUCGUUUUAGCUUUUAUAGAUAUAUCUAGCUUGUGAGAUCAUCAGGUCACAGUGCAAAAGCACCUCGAGGAAGGAGAACUCUGUGUUGCUCUGCUGCUC
This 450-nucleotide long non-coding RNA is filed under the name Setaria viridis. Its description in RNAcentral is "long non-coding RNA (SVIR_LNC006141)". Lineage: Eukaryota; Viridiplantae; Streptophyta; Magnoliopsida; Poales; Poaceae. The record is from RNAcentral.